AUCCCUGUCUUCCACUCUGCAGGUAGGUCUUUAUCCCUGUCUUCCUCUUCAGGUAGGUCUUUAUCCCUGUCUUCCUCUCCAGGUAGGUCUUUAUCCCUGUCUUCUACUCUUCAGGUAGGUCUUUAUCCCUGUCUUCCACUCUUCAGGUAGGUCUUUAUCCCUGUCUUCCCAGGUAGGUCUUUAUCCCUGUCUUCCCAGUUAGGUCUUUAUCCCUGUCUUCCCAGGUAGGUCUUUAUCCCUGUCUUCCCAGGUAGGUCUUUAUCCCUGUCUUCCCAGGUAGGUCUUUUUCCCUGUCUUCCUCUCAAGGCCCUGCAUUAGAAUUGUACAUCACAGCAUGCUGCAGAAACAGGAGAUCGGUUCCUACCCU
Molecule: long non-coding RNA, 367 nt
Organism: Oncorhynchus tshawytscha (Chinook salmon)
Lineage: Eukaryota; Metazoa; Chordata; Actinopteri; Salmoniformes; Salmonidae
Source: Ensembl